This 255-nucleotide ribosomal RNA is filed under the name uncultured bacterium. Its description in RNAcentral is "partial 16S ribosomal RNA". It matches the Rfam family "Bacterial small subunit ribosomal RNA", at positions 524 to 776 of the family's 1533-position model. The record is from RNAcentral.
UACGGGGGGGGGCAAGCGUUGUUCGGAAUUACUGGGCGUAAAGGGCGCGUAGGCGGCCUGCUAAGUCGAACGUGAAAUCCCUGGGCUCAACCCAGGAACUGCGUCCGAUACUGGUUGGCUUGAAUCCGGGAGAGGGAUGUGGAAUUCCAGGUGUAGCGGUGAAAUGCGCAGAUAUCAGGAGGAACACCGGUGGCGAAGGCGGAUCUCUGGGCCUUACCUGACGCUCGAGGUGCGAAAGCUAGGGGAGCGAACAGG